Molecule: non-coding RNA, 905 nt
Organism: Nylanderia fulva
Lineage: Eukaryota; Metazoa; Arthropoda; Insecta; Hymenoptera; Formicidae
Source: RefSeq, a predicted model, not a curated record
UUGCUACGCUACUGCCUUCUGCUACGGAAGGCCAGAAAGCAUUUUCAGGCCGUAUCUCGCGAAUACCAGCACGAUAGAGGAACAAGGAUAAGGUCGGGUCUACAAUAGAUGUAGUAAGCUCUAAGCCUUAAGAAAUUGAUCAAUCACAGUCAAUUAUUCUCCUCAUUCUUGACUGUGAUUGGUGAAUUUUUUAAAGCUUAGAGCUUACUACACCUGUUGUAGAUCUGGCCUAAGGGUGCCGUCACAUGCAGCGUAACUUGCGUAAGCGUAACCUGCGUAUUCUAGUAAUUUUAACAGAAGUUACGCCAUUUUGAAAGUCUGGAUUCACAUAGGGCGUAUUUUACGUAAAUGUGAAAAAGCGUAACUAAUUUAACCAAUCGCAGAUUAGAGUUUCUGUUAGAUAUUCUAACAGAAAUGCAAAACAAAUUUGUGAUUGGUUUUCGUAAUUUACGCAUCUGAAAAGGUACGCGUCAUGAGGAACCGAUACAUGUGUGAAGCGUAAUAUUUGUAGUAUAUCUGCACUAGUACACCUCGUGUGUUUUUGAGGUUAUGUAAAAAGAUUAUCGGUGAUAUCAUGGUAGACUCGUCAUUACAAAAGUUGGAAACGGUGGCAGAGAUGAAAAAAGAAGCAAACAGUUCAACAGUGGAAAAUUAGAAAAAAUAACUUAUUAAAACUGUUUGCAAUCUGGAAAAUACUAUCUUAAAAGAAAGAAGUUCGUCGUAUGUGGGUGCGUUCUACAUUCAUAGAAAGACAAAGAUUAUUACAAGGCGCCAGUGACAACCUAGUGAAGGAAAUGGAAUUUCACGAUUAUAAUUUCAUUUCUUGAGCAGUACAUCAGAUAUAACAGAAUCAUUACAACUAUGUAUUAUAAAAUAAAUAUGAUAUAAAGCUACUUUUUAACUUA